AUUAACAUUCAUAGGCCAUAGUAAUUAGGCCUGAAAAUUGACAUAUCAUAGCAAAACAUCCUUUUUAUACGACUGCAAAAAAAUUUUGUGGUCGUAUAUUGGUAUGACGUUGGCGUCGUCGUAAUCGUCCGAAGACACAUUGGUUUUCGCACUCUAACUUUAGUUAAAGUGAAUGGAUCUCUAUGAAAUUUUACCAUAAGGUUCAAUACCACAAAAGGAAGGUGGGGAUUGAUUUUGGGGGUUAUGGUACCAACAGUUAAGGAAUUAGGGGCCAAAAAGGGGCCAAAAAUAAGCAUUUUUAUACGACCGCAAAAAAAUUUUGUGGUCGUAUAUUGGUAUGACGUUGGCGUCGUCGUCGUCGUCGUCGUCGUCGUCCGAAUACAUAUUGGUUUUCGCACUCUAACUUUAGUUUAAGUGAAUGGAUCUUUUUGAAAUUUGACCAUAAGGUUAAAUACCACAAAAGGAAGGUUGGGAUUGAUUUUGGGGGUUAUGGUACCAACAGUUAAGGAAUUAGGGGCCAAAAAGGGGCCAAAAAUGAGCAUUUUCUAGUUUCCAGACAAUAACUGUGGAACGGUGUAUGGAUCUCUCUGAAAUUAUACUACAAGUUUCCAUACCACAAAGGGAUGGUUAGGAUUUGCUUUGGGGGGUUAUGGCUCAAACCGUUUAGGAAUUAGGGGCAAAAAAGGGGGGAAAAACAAGGUUGUCCUGGUUAAUGGACAAAUACUUUAGUACAAAACAUAAUUUAAAGCAGUGUAAGGGAGAUAAAUCAAAUACAUCAUUGAAAUUAUCUCCCUUACACUGCUUUUAAAUUAUGUAUAAAGUAAUGGUUAAUGAACAAUAAAGAUAAUCUAAAACAGUGUAAGGGAGGUAAUCCAAAUACAACGUUUUGGUUACUUCCCUUACACUGCUUUUAAUUAUGUUUAAAGAAAUGCAUAUUUAUAAAGGAAGACCAGUAAAAAUAUCUGCAAAUGUUUUCAUCUUUUUUUUUUACAAAAAAAUCCAUAUGAAAGAUUUGACACUAUAUUUUUAUUAAUUCUAUUAUAAAAUAGAUUAAGUUAGCACUAUUGUAAAUUUAAAUGGGUAAUUAUGGUUGCCAACUCCAUUGGAAAUUUGAAUUGAGAUUAUGACCAUAUCUUGAGGGAAAGAAUUUUUUUGGGGGAAAAAGGGGGGGGGGGGGAUAAAAAGAAAUUGAGGGGGGCCAAUUUUUUUCUCAUUUCAGAUUUCAGAAAUUAAAAAGAAUUAUUCUUCAAAUAUUAUUUUUUUUUCAAAUUUCAAAUAUUGAAAAAUUUCAAGAAGUAAUCUUUAAUUGCACAGUAUGGCGCAUUAGAUUUGUAAAAUCUUUGAUCACAUUUAUUUAUUUGUUAUGCCGAAUCUAACAGUGUAUUUAGAUUUUUAAUUUUGGGUCCAGUUUUCAAAUUGGUCUACAUUAAUGUCCAAAGGGUCCAAAAUUAAACUUUGUUUGAUUUUAGCAAAAAUUGAAUAUAUGAGGUUCUUUGAUAUGCUGAAUCUAAACAUGUAUUUAGAUUUUUGAUUUUUGGCCCAGUUUUCAAGUUGGUCCAAAUUGGGGUCCAAAAUUAAACUUUGUUUGAUUUCAACAAAAAUUGAAUAUAUGGGGUUCUUUGAUAUGCUGAAUCUAACCAUGUAUUUAGAUUUUUUAUUUGUGGACCCCGUUAUCUAAUUGGUUCAUAUUGAGGUCAAAAGGGUCCAAAAUUAAACUUUGUUUGAUUUCAUCUAAAAUUGAAUAAUUGGGGUUCUUUGAUACUCCAAAUCUAACCGUGUAUUUAGAUUUUUAAUUUUAAGUCCCGUUUUUUAAAUUGGUCUACAUUAAGGUCCAAAGGGUCCAAAAUUAAACUUAGUUUGAUUUUCGCAAAAAUUGAAUUCUUGGGGUUCUUUGAUAUGCUGAAUCUAAACAUGUGUUUAGAUUUUUGAUUAUUGGCCCAGUUUUCAAGUUUGUCCAAGUUGGGGUCCAAAAUUAAACUUUGUUUGAUUUUAACAAAAAUUGAAUAUAUGGGGUUCUUUGAUAUGCUGAAUCUAACCAUGUAUUUUGAUUUUGGACAUUGGACCAUAAUAGGUAAAUUAAAAAAAUUCAAGUUCUUAGACCACAUUCUUUCUGUGUCAGAAACCUAUGCUGUGUCAAAUAUUUAAUAACAAUCCAAAUUCAGAGCUGUAUCAAGCUUGAAUGUUGUGUCCAUACUUGCCCCAACUGUUCAGGGUUCGACCUCUGCGGUCGUAUCAAGCUGCGCCCCAGCGAAGCAUUUUAUUGUAACUUCCAGACAUAACUUGUGUGUUAGUGUAUGGAUCUCUCUUACAUUGUUCCACAAGGUUCCAUAUCACAAAGGGAAUGCUGGGAUUGAUUUUGGGGGUAAUUGCCUCCAAAUUUUAGGAAUUAGGGGCCAAAAAGGGGCAAAAAACCAGCAUUUUUCUAGUUUCAUGAAAAUAACUUGUGUGUAAUUGUAUGGAUCUCUCUGACAUUGUACCACAAGGUUCCAUAUCACAAAGGGAAUGCUGGGAUUGAUUUUGGGGGUAAGUGCCUCCAAAUUUUAGGAAUUAGGGGCCAAAAAGGGGCAAAAAACAAGCAUUUUUCUAGUUUCAUGACAAUAACUUGUGUGUAAGUGUAUGGAUCUUUAUGAAAUUGUACUACAAGGUUCCAUAUCACAAAGGGAAAGCUGGAAUUGAGUUUGGGGGUAAUUGCCAAAAAAGUUUAGGAAUAAGGGGCCAAAAAGGGGCCAAAAAUAAGCAUUUUUCUAGUUUCCAGACAAUAACUUGUGUUCAAGUGUAUGGAUCUCUCUGAAAUUGUACUGCAAGGUACCAUAGCAAAAAGGGAAGGCUGGGAUUGAUUUUGGGGGUAAUUUCCUCAAAAUUUUAGGAAUUAGGGGUCAUAAAGGGGCAAAAAAACAAGCAUUUUUCUAGUUUCAGGACAAUAACUUGUGUGUAAGUGUAUGGAUCUUUAUGAAAUUGUACUGCAAGGUUCCAUAUCACAAAGGGAAAGCUGGGUUUGAGUUUGGGGGUAAUUGCCCUUAAUGUUUAGGAAUUUGGGGCCAAAAAGGGGCCAAAAAACAAGCAUUUUUCUAGUUUCCAGACAAUAACUUGUGUUCAAGUGUAUGGAUCUCUCUGAAAUUGUACUGCAAGGUACCAUACUACAAAGGGAAGGCUGGGAUGAGUUUGGGGGUGAUGAAUCAUAAGGGGGUUCAAAAAAUUUUGGGGGGGGGGAUUUUUUUUCCCUUUUUUUUCUUUAAAAUUUUCCAUUUUAAAUUGGUUAUUUCUGAUUUAUAUAUAAAAGCAAAUAAUAAUAAUAUGGUUUGAAUU
Molecule: long non-coding RNA, 3306 nt
Organism: Mytilus californianus (California mussel)
Lineage: Eukaryota; Metazoa; Mollusca; Bivalvia; Mytilida; Mytilidae
Exons: 2
Source: RefSeq, a predicted model, not a curated record